CCCCUGGAGGACUAGUGGUUAGGCCACAGCACUCUCAGCGCUGCGGUCUGGGUUUGAUUCCCAGCCAGGGAA
This is a non-coding RNA of Pangasius djambal, 72 nucleotides long. The record is from the annotation of a GenBank genome assembly. Lineage: Eukaryota; Metazoa; Chordata; Actinopteri; Siluriformes; Pangasiidae.